GCCACUGGUGUCCCCCCCGCGCCAGCGUGACCCCCCCGGCUCCGAGUGUCACAGCCUGGGGGGGGACACGGGGCUGGGGGCACGGAGGGACCCCUCGGUCCUCUGUGUCCCCCGGGACCUGGCACCGCUCCGGGCUCGGGGACAGCGCCAGGUCUGGAUGGUGGCAGCUUCUCCCCCCAGGCUGAUGUGGCACCUGCGGGGACAGGAAGCAGAGGGUGAACACGGCCAGGUCGAACUCGGGGCUGGAGCCCACCAGGAGCGACCCCCGCGGCUUGGAGUGACCGUCCCAGCGGAACUGCAGCGACAGCACGUCCGGGAAGGAUGUCCACUGCGGGGGGACACGGAGGGGUCACGGAGGGGACGGACAGGGGGACAGACAGGGGGACAGACACGGGGACAUGGCGGGGUCA
Molecule: long non-coding RNA, 410 nt
Organism: Catharus ustulatus (Swainson's thrush)
Lineage: Eukaryota; Metazoa; Chordata; Aves; Passeriformes; Turdidae
Exons: 3
Source: RefSeq, a predicted model, not a curated record